UACGGAGGGUGCGAGCGUCGUCCGGAUUUACUGGGCGUAAAGCGCACGUAGGCGGUUUGUUAAGUGAGAGGUGAAAUCCCAGAGCUCAACUCUGGAACUGCCUUUCAUACUGGCAAGCUAGAAUCCGGAAGAGGUAAGUGGAACUCCUAGUGUAGAGGUGGAAUUCGUAGAUAUUAGGAAGAACACCAGUGGCGAAGGCGGCUUACUGGACCGGAACUGACGCUGAGGUGCGAAAGCGUGGGGAGCAAACAGG
Molecule: ribosomal RNA, 253 nt
Filed under: uncultured bacterium
Lineage: Bacteria
Description: partial 16S ribosomal RNA
Rfam family: Bacterial small subunit ribosomal RNA
Source: RNAcentral